RNAcentral lists this ribosomal RNA (254 nucleotides) under uncultured bacterium. RNAcentral describes it as "partial 16S ribosomal RNA". It matches the Rfam family "Bacterial small subunit ribosomal RNA", at positions 524 to 776 of the family's 1533-position model. The record is from RNAcentral.
UACAGAGGGUGCGAGCGUUGUCCGGAAUCACUGGGCGUAAAGGGCGCGUAGGUGGCGCGACAAGUCAGUGGUGAAAGUUCGACGCUCAACGUCGAAUCGGCCACUGAUACUGUUGGGCUUGAGCACUGUAGAGGCUAAUGGAAUUCCGGGUGUAGCGGUGGAAUGCGUAGAGAUCCGGAAGAACACCGGUGGCGAAGGCGGUUAGCUGGGCAGUUGCUGACACUGAGGCGCGGACAGCGUGGGGAGCAAACAGG